GAAACUGUUCUCGUUUCUUUUAGAAGGAUGAAUUAGACAGAGCAUUCACUUAGCUCUUAGCCUUCUUUUGAUUCAAAAAAAAAUUGCAAGCCAAAGAGGAACGUAUAUGUUCAGUUCAACUUCGGAUUUGUGGGUCUUAAAAUUGAUUUCUACUUGAGUAUUGGAGUUAGAUUUGAAUCUGAUUGAGGCGUAGGUUGUUUGAAGUCGGCUCGUGGUUCCGUCGGCAGUUGUCACAUUUCGAGUUUAAAGUAGUGAAACAAUCAAUUGUUCGGUUAUAUUGAGGUUUUACUCUUCAAUCCUCUACUUGUUUUAUUCUAGCUCAAUGUUUAUCUCUUG
This 336-nucleotide long non-coding RNA is filed under the name Nicotiana benthamiana. RNAcentral describes it as "long non-coding RNA (NBEN_LNC036623)". The record is from RNAcentral. Lineage: Eukaryota; Viridiplantae; Streptophyta; Magnoliopsida; Solanales; Solanaceae.